Molecule: long non-coding RNA, 1366 nt
Organism: Zingiber officinale
Lineage: Eukaryota; Viridiplantae; Streptophyta; Magnoliopsida; Zingiberales; Zingiberaceae
Exons: 4
Source: RefSeq, a predicted model, not a curated record
GAAACUAGGGUUAGAAUUUUGAGCCUCCCACACCAGCUCAAUCCCUAUCAACAUCUGAAGUAUGCUACUCUAAAUGGACCCUAUCAUCCUCGAAUCUCCAUCCCCGGUCAAAUCGCUGGCCGAAGGCCCUCUCGCCGGCACAAUCUUUGACUCAAUGCUCAAAGAAUCCAUCGAUCGAUUCCUCAUCGAAGUCAAGGAGUCCUAUAUAAUUUUGAGACUGCUACUACUGAAGCCACCGAUGCCCAUCAUUAUCCUCUUGAGUUCCACAGAUGAAAGCCUGGCGCGAAGUGUCCUCUAUGAUGCCGUGAUUUUAGUGGAUUAUUCUUUCAUAAAUCCUGGAAUUGAAGUAGAAAACUUCAACAAUUUUUUGAUGAAUCUUUUAAUGAAAAAACUAAUUGUUACUCAUGAAGUCAUUCAGUCUUUUAGGUGCAUGCUCAAGGUUACAGAUAUUUGCAGAUAUUAGUAUUAGUGCUGAAAUUCAUUGUCGUAGCAGGAGCAAUGGAGAUUUUAACAAAGCUAUAUGCUAUAGUAAAUCAUUUAGGACUUCCGGUGUUCCAAAUGCCUUAGUUAAAUGGUCACUCAUCAGGUUCUCUUGGAAGAACAUAACCAACCCAAUGCUAACACGCUGCAGGAGCUUCUCAAGUGGCUUGUGGUUGUUGAAGAAUGAGGGUUUAAGCUUUUUGAGGAUGACAUUUUGGAUCUAGUGAUGUUCAAGGAAUCUCACGCCUGUGACAAUACUACAAAAUUUGAUUCAAGAACCAACAAGAGGGAUGAUGAUCUUUUCUUCUUUGAUAACAAAGGAAGAGUUGAACCUGCAAAAGAUGAUGACAUGGAAACUGCAGAAGCUGCAUUUCUCACCGCUGCUUAUUCUAUGAAAUCUGACGUGAGCAAGAAGAGGAGAAAGCAAACAGGGCAUGCAAGCAAAGCAAAGAAUAAUCUGAAUUGCAGUUGAAAUUUGCCAAAUACAAGAUAGGCGACGAUUUAGUCAAAUAUUACUUCAACAAUACAUAAUAGGAUGGGAAAAAAAAGAUGAAUACGCUUGUCCUGAAUGUUCUUGUCAAUUCAUUUUAAAGUCAACACAAAGAAGGUAAAUUACGAGCGACUACUAACUUUUGGAAUAAUGACUAAUAUAUAAGGGAGACAUUUAUUUCAGUUAUAUUGAAAUUUGAAUCCCAGAUCUUAUGAUGAUAAUACAUCAUGUGUUAGCCAUCAGACCGUCCUAAGAGGAUUCAUGUAUUAGCCACCAGACCGUCCUGAAAGGACUCCACAGUUACAUAAUAGAUUCUUAGGUCUCAACAUAAGGUAGCAUCAUUACUAUGAUCUGAUCUUCUGGGACAAACGUAUAUUCUUAGGUCAGAAGACUCCA